GGCGCAGAGACACAAGCAGACUCCUUCUCGACUGCGGAAGUUCUUGUGCUUGAACCCGGGAAUUAGCCGCUCCCACACGUACUGCAGAGAGGAAGAACAGGGAUGAGCACAGCUCAUGCAGUUCCAAUGGUCGCCAGAGGAGGGAGCACAGAACCCAUUUUGACACAACAUCCCUUUGCUUGAAGCGUGUGUGUGUGUGAGUGCAUGUUGGCGUGCUUGUCUCACCAUGGGCGAGGCCGUCUGCUCCAUACAGCGAAGGAUGAGCGUCUGGCUGUUCUCCCUAACCUGGUCCUUAGAGUCUCCAAGCCGGUCAACCAGCGCUGGCACCACUACAGGCAGCAAGACGACAGAGAGACGGACACCAGAGGGGGAAAUAACAGGAAGGGGGAAGAAAUAACAGGAAGUCAUUAAUGACAUGUUCUGUACAAUAAUACAUACAAAUAGUAUUACACAAUAAAACGGUCUCAGAGAUUAUAGACGCAUCGA
This is a long non-coding RNA of Gadus morhua (Atlantic cod), 486 nucleotides long. RefSeq lists it as uncharacterized. The transcript is spliced from 3 exons. The record is from RefSeq and is a predicted model, not a curated record. NCBI's taxonomy places the organism in Eukaryota, Metazoa, Chordata, Actinopteri, Gadiformes, Gadidae.